This 1387-nucleotide ribosomal RNA is filed under the name Aureococcus anophagefferens. RNAcentral describes it as "partial large subunit ribosomal RNA". It matches the Rfam family "Eukaryotic large subunit ribosomal RNA", at positions 23 to 1464 of the family's 3401-position model. The record is from RNAcentral. Lineage: Eukaryota; Pelagophyceae; Pelagomonadales; Pelagomonadaceae.
ACCCGCUGAAUUUAAGCAUAUAACUAAGCGGAGGAAAAGAAACUAACAAGGAUUCCCCUAGUAAGGGCGACUGAAGCGGGAUCAGCCCAGAUUGUAAACUGACCUUAAUCAAGGUUGGGUUGUAGUCUAAAGAGGCGACGCCAGGCAAGGUCCGGGGAGAAGUCCCUUGGAACAGGGCAUCGGAGAGGGUGACAAUCCCGUCUGUGCCUCGGACCGCGUCGUACGGUGCGUCUUCGACGAGUCGGUUUGCUUGGGAUUGCAGACCAAACGGGUGGUAAAUUCCAUCUAAGGCUAAAUACGGGUGGGAGACCGAUAGCGAACAAGUACCGUGAGGGAAAGAUGCAAAGAACUUUGAAAAGAGAGUUAAAAAGGGCCUGAAACUGGUAAGAGGGAACCGAACGGCAGAAGUGGUGAUGGGCGCGUAUUUGCCGCCGGGCUCUUGGCCGGCGUACUUGUGCGCGUCCGUAGGUCAGCGUGGGUUGGGGCGUGGGAGUCGUUCAUGGGAAGGUCUUCGGGCCAAUCUCGUGUUCAGGCCGCGCCUGAGACCUUCGGUGACGAAAUUCUUCCGUUCACCCCGUCUUGAAACACGGACCAAGGAGUCUAAAAUACGAGCGAGUGCGCCGGUGGCAACCCGGGGCGCGUAAUGAAAGUGAGACCGACGGUGGGAGGGCUUUACGUCCGCACCAUCAACCGACCACGAUCCUUCGGGUGAAAGGUUUGAGUGUAGCUUGUAUUUUGGGACCCGAAAGAUGGUGAACUAUGCCUGAAUAGGGCGAAGCCAGGGGAAACUCUGGUGGAGGCUCGUAGCGAUUCUGACGUGCAAAUCGAUCGUCAAAUUUGGGUAUAGGGGCGAAAGACUAAUCGAACCAUCUAGUAGCUGGUUCCCUCCGAAAUUUCCCUCAGGAUAGCAGCAAUCGAAGAGUUUUAUCAGGUAAAGCGAAUGAUUAGAGGCCUCAGGGGUGGAACGUCCUUGACCUAUUCUCAAACUUUAAAUGGGUAAGAGCCAGGGGUUGCUUAAGUGAACCCCUCGGUCGAAUCGCGGUUGCUAGUGGGCCACCCGGGGUAAGCUCGGUUGGCGAUGCGGGAUGAUCCGAACGUCGAGUUAAAGUGCCUCACUGCCCGCUCACCUAGAUCCCACAAAAGGUGUUGGUUCAUUUAGACAGCAGGACGGUGGCCAUGGAAGUCGGAACCCGCUAAGGAGUGUGUAACAACUCACCUGCCGAAUGGAUUAGCCCUGAAAAUGGAUGGCGCUGAAGCGAGCGACUUAUACUCGACCAUCACGGCAAGUGCGACGCCGUGAUGAGUAGGAGGGCGUGGGGCUCGUGGCGCAUCCCGCGGCGUGAGCCGGGGUGAAACGGGCUCUAGUGCAGAUCUUGGUGGUAGUAGC